Molecule: long non-coding RNA, 951 nt
Filed under: Salmo salar (Atlantic salmon)
Lineage: Eukaryota; Metazoa; Chordata; Actinopteri; Salmoniformes; Salmonidae
Description: lncRNA (ENSSSAG00000096242.1)
Source: RNAcentral
CCUCGUUGUAACGACAAAAUGUGUUUUAUUAGUUGAUUUUAUGUGUUACAGCGUUCAACACACACAAUGCAAAAGGGCAUUUGAUGUAAAAAAAUUUAAAAAAAUGAAAAAUAAGUAAUUGAAACUGAAAAUCAGAAAGUAUUAAAUCACUCAGCAUUAGUAGUCGGCCUGGAACACACCCGUAAUCUGACAGGACUACGACACAGGCUUGGUAGUCGGCCUGGAACACACCCGUAAUCUGACAGGACUACGACACAGGCUUGGUAGUCGGCCUGGAACACACCCGUAAUCUGACAGGACUACGACACAGGCUUGGUAGUCGGCCUGGAACACACCCGUAAUCUGACAGGACUACGACACAGGCUUGGUAGUCGGCCUGGAACACAUGUCAAAAAUGUUAUAAAAUGAUUUGCAUUUUAAUGAGGGAAAUAAGUAUUUGACCCCCUCUCAAUCAGAAAGAAUUCUGGCUCCCAGGUGUCUUUUAUACAGGUAACGAGCUGAGAUUAGGAGCACACUCUUAAAGGGAGAAUGUGUGUGUGUGUGAGUUCUAGAACGCGUGUGAGAGUUCUAGAAUGCGUGUGUGUGAGUUCUAGAAUGUGCGUGUGUGAGUUCUAGAAUGCGUGUGAGAGUUCUAGAAUGCGUGUGUGAGUUCUAGAAUGCGCGUGUGUGAGUUCUAGAAUGUGCGUGUGUGAGUUCUAGAAUGCGUGUGUGAGUUCUAGAAUGCGUGUGAGAGGUCUAGAAUGCGUGUGUGAGUUCUAGAAUGCGUGUGAGAGGUCUAGAAUGCGUGUGUGAGUUCUAGAAUGCGUGUGAGAGGUCUAGAAUGCGUGUGAGAGUUCUAGAAUGCGUGUGAGAGUUCUAGAAUGCGUGUGUGAGUUCUAGAAUGCGUGUGAGAGGUCUAGAAUGCGUGUGUGAGUUCUAGAAUGCGUGUGUGAGUUCUAGAAUGCGUGUGAG